Molecule: ribosomal RNA, 254 nt
Filed under: uncultured bacterium
Lineage: Bacteria
Description: partial 16S ribosomal RNA
Rfam family: Bacterial small subunit ribosomal RNA
Source: RNAcentral
UACGUAGGGGGCAAGCGUUUGUCCGGAAUCAUUGGGCGUAAAGCGCGUGUAGGCGGCUCGAUAAGUCUGCUGUGAAAGUCCAGGGCUCAACCCUGGGAUGCCGGUGGAUACUGUCGAGCUCGAGUCCGGAAGAGGCGAGUGGAAUUCCUGGUGUAGCGGUGAAAUGCGCAGAUAUCAGGAGGAACACCAAUGGCGAAGGCAGCUCGCUGGGACGUGACUGACGCUGAGGCACGAAAGCGUGGGUAGCAAACAGG